RNAcentral lists this ribosomal RNA (440 nucleotides) under uncultured bacterium. RNAcentral's name for it is "partial 16S ribosomal RNA". It matches the Rfam family "Bacterial small subunit ribosomal RNA", at positions 338 to 795 of the family's 1533-position model. The record is from RNAcentral.
CCUACGGGAGGCAGCAGUGGGGAAUAUUGCACAAUGGGGGGAACCCUGAUGCAGCAACGCCGCGUGGGUGAAGAAGUACUUCGGUAUGUAAAGCCCUGUCAGCAGGGAAGAAAAUGACGGUACCUGAAGAAGAAGCCCCGGCUAACUACGUGCCAGCAGCCGCGGUAAUACGUAGGGGGCAAGCGUUAUCCGGAUUUACUGGGUGUAAAGGGGGCGCAGACGGCGAUGCAAGCCAGGAGUGAAAGCCCGGGGCCCAACCCCGGGACUGCUCUUGGAACUGCGUGGCUAGAGUGCAGGAGGGGCAGGCGGAAUUCCUGGUGUAGCGGUGAAAUGCGUAGAUAUCAGGAGGAACACCGGUGGCGAAGGCGGCCUGCUGGACUGCAACUGACGUUGAGGCCCGAAAGCGUGGGGAGCAAACAGGAUUAGAUACCCUGGUAGUC